Long non-coding RNA from Myotis brandtii (Brandt's bat), 341 nucleotides. RefSeq lists it as uncharacterized. The record is from RefSeq and is a predicted model, not a curated record. NCBI's taxonomy places the organism in Eukaryota, Metazoa, Chordata, Mammalia, Chiroptera, Vespertilionidae. The transcript has 3 exons.
ACAGAAACUGCACCUAGAAGAAAUUCGGACCGAGCUGAGGCUAUGACAGUUUGAGAAGACACAGAAUUGGGUCUGCUUUGGGGGAGAACCAAGCCUAAGAUGAAGUUUGACUCCAGUCUGGGCCCUGCCUCUUCAAGAUCUGGGUCCUCAAGAAAUGUUGGAGACCUGAGAUGAAAAAGCCUUUGAGAACUGAUCUCUCCCAAUACACAGAGCUUUGCAGCCUGGAUCUGCCCAUGCUAUCCCCAUUCCCAGAAGGAAUGACCUGCAAUUUAUAUAUUCCAGGACUGAAAAUUUACAGUUGCUGAUAAAAUAUAAAUCUAUAUGCAUUGAAUAAAAAUUAU